AGAUUGAACGCUGGCGGCAGGCCUAACACAUGCAAGUCGAGCGGCAGCACGGGUACUUGUACCUGGUGGCGAGCGGCGGACGGGUGAGUAAUGCCUAGGAAUCUGCCUGAUAGUGGGGGAUAACGCUCGGAAACGGACGCUAAUACCGCAUACGUCCUACGGGAGAAAGCAGGGGACCUUCGGGCCUUGCGCUAUCAGAUGAGCCUAGGUCGGAUUAGCUAGUUGGUGGGGUAAUGGCUCACCAAGGCGACGAUCCGUAACUGGUCUGAGAGGAUGAUCAGUCACACUGGAACUGAGACACGGUCCAGACUCCUACGGGAGCAGCAGUGGGGAAUUUUGGACAAUGGGGGAAACCCUGAUCCAGCCAUCCCGCGUGUGCGAUGAAGGCCUGGUUGUAAG
This 399-nucleotide ribosomal RNA is filed under the name uncultured soil bacterium. Its description in RNAcentral is "bacterial SSU rRNA". It matches the Rfam family "Bacterial small subunit ribosomal RNA", at positions 26 to 429 of the family's 1533-position model. The record is from RNAcentral.